UGAUCAAACAGGAGCUACAGUAUACACAGG
This 30-nucleotide non-coding RNA is filed under the name Callithrix jacchus (white-tufted-ear marmoset). RNAcentral also lists the same sequence under 1 other name. Lineage: Eukaryota; Metazoa; Chordata; Mammalia; Primates; Cebidae. The record is from RNAcentral.